RNAcentral lists this long non-coding RNA (836 nucleotides) under Dermacentor andersoni. RNAcentral's name for it is "uncharacterized LOC126543141". Lineage: Eukaryota; Metazoa; Arthropoda; Arachnida; Ixodida; Ixodidae. The record is from RNAcentral.
UUUAUGCUGCCUUUGCAUCAACGCACGUCAACUUAAGAAGCCCAGGCAAUGUUCUUUGUUUAUAAAACAGCUGCUCCGAAGCCUACAGGUCGGCAAUAUAUCAUGACUCAUCGCGCUUAAAACAUUCUGGUGGCACUGGGCUUGCUCGCACUACUGCACGCUUAGAUAUCCUUGACGUGCACUUUCCUAUCGAGUCCACAACAUAGAAAACGUAUCGAUCACGCAUUUUUAUGUGAGCAUAGGACCUGAGCCCGGUUUAUCAUAAAUUUGCGGGGACAACAAGAGUAAAGUGUGCACCGUAAGUGUGCAACUUUUUAUUGUGACGGGCUCCUGGGGCAUGCACACCUGCUGGAAUGCUUCGCACCCAAGCAGCGUAUCUCUUCCUAUUUGCUUUUGUCGCCCAAUCCCACUGUGCAAACGCCGGCGCAAAAGGUACCCCAAUGUUAAAUACAAAGUGCCUAAAGGAACCUACCGUAGAAGACUGCAAUACCAUUCUACUAAGCUGGAGCUAUAACAGUGAAAACAAAACAUGCGAGAAAGGCUUUGUUUGCAAUGACUGUGUUAACAGAUUUGAUGAUCAAAAUGAAUGCAAAAAAGUCUGCUCUAUGGUAAAAGCAAAAAAACCUAGACGCAACAAAAGAAACUGCAGAUACUGGAUGGCAUGGGGGGCAAGUUGUCAAGAUAAAUGGUUUGAAGAAAGGAAGACAAAGGCAGGAAAAAUGGAUCUAAUACUGUUUUUCACCGGCUGUGGAUCAGAAAAGAAAAAGUUAUAUGAAUACAGCUAUUCCCGGAAAAAAUGUCAUGGUAAGUAUAGCGAAGUCUCUUCGAAUAAUUUA